This 250-nucleotide ribosomal RNA is filed under the name uncultured bacterium. RNAcentral describes it as "partial 16S ribosomal RNA". It matches the Rfam family "Bacterial small subunit ribosomal RNA", at positions 28 to 264 of the family's 1533-position model. The record is from RNAcentral.
GACGAACGCUGGCGGCGUGCCUAAUACAUGCAAGUCGAACGAACGGAGCUAGGAACUUGCUCCCGGCAAAGUUAGUGGCGCACGGGUGAGUAACACGUGGAGAACCUACCCUUUUGCGGGGGAUAACCAUUGGAAACGAUGACUAAUACCGCAUAGAAUCGCAGAUCGCAUGAUCAACGAAGGAAAGACGGCUUCGGCUGUCACAAAAGGAUGGCUCCGCGGUGCAUUAGCUAGAUGGUGGGGUAACGGC